AUGGACAGUCCCUCUUCUUUGGCGGCUUGCUCAAUCACCAAAAUGGAAUGCAUUUCUCAUUGUCUUUCUUUUGUGAUCUGUAGGGGAAUUCAAAGAUGGGACAGAUUAAAGAGACCAAGCUUCACUUACACAUUUCUAAGUAGUUUCACUAGGGCAGGACUCAGACAAGAAGUGGCGUCCCAGAAUGUUUAGUGAUGGAAAGAUGCCAAUUACUCCUGCUUGGGUUUCCUCUGCACUCUCUGAAUAGAAAGAGCAAUGAAGACAGAAGGUGAGAUGCUGAGGCUAGAAUUGGAGGCUUGAUUUGGGAUGGGAUAAAAUGAAGAACAGGAGCAGCUUGGGCAAGCUGCUGCUGUUGGUGUCAUUGGGGAUGCUAUUAAAGACUCUCAUAUAGCAACAUCCACGUCUGGAUUCCCAUCUGAUCGACAUCAAUAUACUUUUCAGCAUCAUUCAUUUUGGAAGAAGAGCCUUAAUUAGGCAUGAAGAGAUUUAUCAAACAGCAGCCUCCUGGAGCAGAUGAUUCCCCUGUCACCAACAUGCCUGAAAUAUAGUUGACCAAGCAACUUUAAGAAGGAAAGAAGUAGGAGAAGAAUGGAAGAAAAGGAGAAAAAAAAGAAAAAUCAUACCAUCAAUGAUUUUAAAGUAGACCAAGAUGAUAUCAUCAAGUUGGACCUCAGCUCAAUCAAGAAUAUAGUUAAAUAAAUAUAUAAAUCAGCAGUUUCCAGAAGAGCAAGCCAGAAGGUAGCAGGAGAUGUGGGUUCUAGUCCUGGCUUUGCUACUGACUACUCUAUAUGAGUACAUAUGAGGGUAUACAUCAACUCCUCCCUCUAGAUCUAUUUCCUCAUCCAUAAUAAAAAUGGCUAUAGUAAAAAGGACUCAACUAGACUUUUAAGAUUUCUUCCAGUUCUAAAGCUACUAUCUGAUGAACUCUAAAAUCCUUUCUGGCUUCUAAAUGGUGUGAUUCUAGGUAUUUAUUGAUCACAUGCUAUGUGACCAGUAUUAUAGAGAAUAUUGGAUAACUAUAUUAAGGAUCUGUAAUUGCAUUGACACGGAACUGAUUGGUUGAAUCAGUCAAUCACCAACUAUUUAUUAAUUGCUUUUUAUAUGCCAGGAAGGCAUUGUCCUCAAGAAAAAAAAGGUUCUUGCUCUCAAAGAGCUUUAAUGUGGUGGACAACAUUCAAAUACAAAACCCAAGAUAAAUAUAGUCUAAUUGCAUAAUAACUAGAUGGGAAAGACACUUGAAGGGAGAAGAAAGAGGAGCAAAGACUUUGUGAAGAAGAUAAAUAUGAGAUGAAUCUAAAAGAAGCCAAAGAAGUUGAAGAUAGAAGUGAGGAAGGAAUGAAUUCCAGUCCUGGAAGAAAACCAGUGCAAAAGGCAUAGAGUCAGAAAGUGGAUAGUACUUUGUAUAAAAUAGUGAAUAGACCACUAUAGCUGGAUGGUAGAGUAUAUGGUGGGAAAGUAAACAGAGACCAGGUUGUGAAGGGCUUUAAAUAUACAAAAGGAUUUUCUAUUUGAUCAUGGAGAUAAUUAAGAGCCACUAUUAAGCAAAGGGAUGAUAUAGUAACAUCUUCACCCUAGAAAAUUGCUUUGGCAGUUCAGACAAGUCGUAGUGGGCAGAGGACUUGAGAUAUAAAGAUCAAUUAGAAGAUUAUUGCAGUGUUCCAGGAAGAGGUGAUGAAGGCCUGUACUAGGGUCAUGGGUUGAGAGGAAAUGGGAUGCUUAGCCUGAAAUAGAUCAAAUGUCCUCAAAUAUUUGAAGAGCUACUGUUGGAGGAUAAACUAGUAUCUUUCUAAUAGCCACAGAGGGCAGUCAGGAAUAAUGGGUAGAAGUCAUGAAAACAACAAAUUUAGAUUGGCUAUUGGGGAAAAUUUUCUAAAACCAAGAGGCAUCCGAAAGUGGAAUGGGCUGUCUCAGGAGAUACUGGGUUUACCUUUAGUAGAGGCUGUCAGACAAAGAUUUGAUGACCACUUAUUAGUUAUGUUGUGGAUUUAGGUUUAGG
Molecule: long non-coding RNA, 1996 nt
Organism: Sarcophilus harrisii (Tasmanian devil)
Lineage: Eukaryota; Metazoa; Chordata; Mammalia; Dasyuromorphia; Dasyuridae
Exons: 4
Source: RefSeq, a predicted model, not a curated record